AGCAGCCGCCGCGGUAAUACGUAGGUGGCAAGCGUUGUCUGGAAUUAUUGGGCGUAAAGGGCUCGCAGGCGGUUUCUUAAGUCCGAUGUGAAAGCCCCCGGCUCAACCGGGGAGGGUCAUUGGAAACUGGGAAACUUGAGUGCAGAAGAGGAGAGUGGAAUUCCACGUGUAGCGGUGAAAUGCGUAGAGAUGUGGAGGAACACCAGUGGCGAAGGCGACUCUCUGGUCUGUAACUGACGCUGAGGAGCGAAAGCGUGGGGAGCGAACAGGAUUAGAUACCCCCGUAGUCCCUGUCUCUUAUAC
This 303-nucleotide ribosomal RNA is filed under the name uncultured bacterium. RNAcentral describes it as "partial 16S ribosomal RNA". It matches the Rfam family "Bacterial small subunit ribosomal RNA", at positions 507 to 807 of the family's 1533-position model. The record is from RNAcentral.